Molecule: ribosomal RNA, 485 nt
Filed under: uncultured bacterium
Lineage: Bacteria
Description: partial 16S ribosomal RNA
Rfam family: Bacterial small subunit ribosomal RNA
Source: RNAcentral
GACGAACGCUGGCGGCGUGCUUAACACAUGCAAGUCGAACGGUGAAAGCGGAGCUUGCUCCGCUGGAUCAGUGGCGAACGGGUGAGUAACACGUGGGCAACCUGCCCCUCACUUCGGGAUAACUCCGGGAAACCGGGGCUAAUACCGGAUAUGACCUCCUUGGGCAUCCUUGGAGGUGGAAAGUUUUUCGGUGAGGGAUGGGCCCGCGGCCUAUCAGCUUGUUGGUGAGGUAGUGGCUCACCAAGGCGACGACGGGUAGCCGGCCUGAGAGGGCGACCGGCCACACUGAGACUGAGACACGGCCCAGACUCCUACGGGAGGCAGCAGUGGGGAAUAUUGCGCAAUGGGCGAAAGCCUGACGCAGCAACGCCGCGUGCGGGAUGACGGCCUUCGGGUUGUAAACCGCUUUCAGCAGGGAAGAAGCCGCAGGGUGACGGUACCUGCAGAAGAAGCACCGGCUAACUACGUGCCAGCAGCCGCGGUAA